GGUCAAGUGAAGAAGCGCAUACGGUGGAUGCCUUGGCAGUCAGAGGCGAUGAAAGACGUGGUAGCCUGCGAAAAGCUUCGGGGAGUCGGCAAACAGACUUUGAUCCGGAGAUCUCUGAAUGGGGGAACCCACCUAGGAUAACCUAGGUAUCUUGUACUGAAUCCAUAGGUGCAAGAGGCGAACCAGGGGAACUGAAACAUCUAAGUACCCUGAGGAAAAGAAAUCAACCGAGAUUCCCUUAGUAGUGGCGAGCGAACGGGGAUUAGCCCUUAAGCUUCAUUGAUUUUAGCGGAACGCUCUGGAAAGUGCGGCCAUAGUGGGUGAUAGCCCCGUACGCGAAAGGAUCUUUGAAGUGAAAUCGAGUAGGACGGAGCACGAGAAACUUUGUCUGAACAUGGGGGGACCAUCCUCCAAGGCUAAAUACUACUGACUGACCGAUAGUGAACCAGUACCGUGAGGGAAAGGCGAAAAGAACCCCGGAGAGGGGAGUGAAAUAGAACCUGAAACCGUAUGCGUACAAGCAGUGGGAGCCUACUUGUUAGGUGACUGCGUACCUUUUGUAUAAUGGGUCAGCGACUUAUAUUCAGUGGCAAGCUUAACCGUAUAGGGUAGGCGUAGCGAAAGCGAGUCUUAAUAGGGCGUUUAGUCGCUGGGUAUAGACCCGAAACCGGGCGAUCUAUCCAUGAGCAGGUUGAAGGUUAGGUAACACUGACUGGAGGACCGAACCCACUCCCGUUGAAAAGGUAGGGGAUGACUUGUGGAUCGGAGUGAAAGGCUAAUCAAGCUCGGAGAUAGCUGGUUCUCCUCGAAAGCUAUUUAGGUAGCGCCUCAUGUAUCACUCUGGGGGGUAGAGCACUGUUUCGGCUAGGGGGUCAUCCCGACUUACCAAACCGAUGCAAACUCCGAAUACCCAGAAGUGCCGAGCAUGGGAGACACACGGCGGGUGCUAACGUCCGUCGUGAAAAGGGAAACAACCCAGACCGCCAGCUAAGGUCCCAAAGUUGUGGUUAAGUGGUAAACGAUGUGGGAAGGCUUAGACAGCUAGGAGGUUGGCUUAGAAGCAGCCACCCUUUAAAGAAAGCGUAAUAGCUCACUAGUCGAGUCGGCCUGCGCGGAAGAUGUAACGGGGCUCAAACCACACACCGAAGCUGCGGGUGUCACGUAAGUGACGCGGUAGAGGAGCGUUCUGUAAGCCUGUGAAGGUGAGUUGAGAAGCUUGCUGGAGGUAUCAGAAGUGCGAAUGCUGACAUGAGUAACGACAAUGGGUGUGAAAAACACCCACGCCGAAAGACCAAGGGUUCCUGCGCAACGUUAAUCGACGCAGGGUUAGUCGGUUCCUAAGGCGAGGCUGAAAAGCGUAGUCGAUGGGAAACAGGUUAAUAUUCCUGUACUUCUGGUUACUGCGAUGGAGGGACGGAGAAGGCUAGGCCAGCUUGGCGUUGGUUGUCCAAGUUUAAGGUGGUAGGCUGAAAUCUUAGGUAAAUCCGGGGUUUCAAGGCCGAGAGCUGAUGACGAGUCGUCUUUUAGAUGACGAAGUGGUUGAUGCCAUGCUUCCAAGAAAAGCUUCUAAGCUUCAGGUAACCAGGAACCGUACCCCAAACCGACACAGGUGGUCGGGUAGAGAAUACCAAGGCGCUUGAGAGAACUCGGGUGAAGGAACUAGGCAAAAUGGCACCGUAACUUCGGGAGAAGGUGCGCCGGCUAGGGUGAAGGAUUUACUCCGUAAGCUCUGGCUGGUCGAAGAUACCAGGCCGCUGCGACUGUUUAUUAAAAACACAGCACUCUGCAAACACGAAAGUGGACGUAUAGGGU
Molecule: ribosomal RNA, 1812 nt
Filed under: Pseudomonas aeruginosa
Lineage: Bacteria; Pseudomonadati; Pseudomonadota; Gammaproteobacteria; Pseudomonadales; Pseudomonadaceae
Description: partial 23S ribosomal RNA
Rfam family: Bacterial large subunit ribosomal RNA
Source: RNAcentral